This 651-nucleotide ribosomal RNA is filed under the name uncultured Bacteroidales bacterium. Its description in RNAcentral is "bacterial SSU rRNA". It matches the Rfam family "Bacterial small subunit ribosomal RNA", at positions 76 to 726 of the family's 1533-position model. Lineage: Bacteria; Pseudomonadati; Bacteroidota; Bacteroidia; Bacteroidales. The record is from RNAcentral.
UUGCUUUCUUUGCUGGCGACCGGCGCACGGGUGAGUAACACGUAUCCAACCUGCCCUUUACUCGGGGAUAGCCUUUCGAAAGAAAGAUUAAUACCCGAUAGCAUAAUGAUUCCGCAUGGUUUCAUUAUUAAAGGAUUCCGGUAAAGGAUGGGGAUGCGUUCCAUUAGGUUGUUGGUGAGGUAACGGCUCACCAAGCCUUCGAUGGAUAGGGGUUCUGAGAGGAAGGUCCCCCACAUUGGAACUGAGACACGGUCCAAACUCCUACGGGAGGCAGCAGUGAGGAAUAUUGGUCAAUGGGCGCUAGCCUGAACCAGCCAAGUAGCGUGAAGGAUGAAGGCUCUAUGGGUCGUAAACUUCUUUUAUAUAAGAAUAAAGUGCAGUAUGUAUACUGUUUUGUAUGUAUUAUAUGAAUAAGGAUCGGCUAACUCCGUGCCAGCAGCCGCGGUAAUACGGAGGAUCCGAGCGUUAUCCGGAUUUAUUGGGUUUAAAGGGAGCGUAGGUGGACUGGUAAGUCAGUUGUGAAAGUUUGCGGCUCAACCGUAAAAUUGCAGUUGAUACUGUCAGUCUUGAGUACAGUAGAGGUGGGCGGAAUUCGUGGUGUAGCGGUGAAAUGCUUAGAUAUCACGAAGAACUCCGAUUGCGAAGGCAGCU